RNAcentral lists this ribosomal RNA (254 nucleotides) under uncultured bacterium. RNAcentral describes it as "partial 16S ribosomal RNA". It matches the Rfam family "Bacterial small subunit ribosomal RNA", at positions 524 to 776 of the family's 1533-position model. The record is from RNAcentral.
UACGGAGGGGGCCAGCGUUGUUCGGAAUUAUUGGGCGUAAAGAGCUCGUAGGUGGUUCGGUAAGUCGGGUGUUAAACCCCCAGGCUCAACCUGGGGACGCCACUCGAUACUGCUGUGACUUGAGUCCGGUAGGGGAGCGUGGAAUUCCUGGUGUAGCGGUGAAAUGCGCAGAUAUCAGGAGGAACACCAGCGGCGAAGGCGGCGCUCUGGGCCGGUACUGACACUGAGGAGCGAAAGCGUGGGUAGCAAACAGG